Molecule: ribosomal RNA, 918 nt
Filed under: Salmonella enterica subsp. enterica serovar Enteritidis
Lineage: Bacteria; Pseudomonadati; Pseudomonadota; Gammaproteobacteria; Enterobacterales; Enterobacteriaceae
Description: partial 23S ribosomal RNA
Rfam family: Bacterial large subunit ribosomal RNA
Source: RNAcentral
CCCUUUGGGUGUGACUGCGUACCUUUUGUAUAAUGGGUCAGCGACUUAUAUUCUGUAGCAAGGUUAACCGAAUAGGGGAGCCGGAGGGAAACCGAGUCUUAAUUGGGCGUUAAGUUGCAGGGUAUAGACCCGAAACCCGGUGAUCUAGCCAUGGGCAGGUUGAAGGUUGGGUAACACUAACUGGAGGACCGAACCGACUAAUGUUGAAAAAUUAGCGGAUGACCUGUGGCUGGGGGUGAAAGGCCAAUCAAACCGGGAGAUAGCUGGUUCUCCCCGAAAGCUAUUUAGGUAGCGCCUCGUGAAUUCAUCUCCGGGGGUAGAGCACUGUUUCGGCUAGGGGGCCAUCCCGGCUUACCAACCCGAUGCAAACUGCGAAUACCGGAGAAUGUUAUCACGGGAGACACACGGCGGGUGCUAACGUCCGUCGUGAAGAGGGAAACAACCCAGACCGCCAGCUAAGGUCCCAAAGUCAUGGUUAAGUGGGAAACGAUGUGGGAAGGCCCAGACAGCCAGGAUGUUGGCUUAGAAGCAGCCAUCAUUUAAAGAAAGCGUAAUAGCUCACUGGUCGAGUCGGCCUGCGCGGAAGAUGUAACGGGGCUAAACCAUGCACCGAAGCUGCGGCAGCGACACUGUGUGUUGUUGGGUAGGGGAGCGUUCUGUAAGCCUGUGAAGGUGUGUCGUGAGGCAUGCUGGAGGUAUCAGAAGUGCGAAUGCUGACAUAAGUAACGAUAAAGCGGGUGAAAAGCCCGCUCGCCGGAAGACCAAGGGUUCCUGUCCAACGUUAAUCGGGGCAGGGUGAGUCGACCCCUAAGGCGAGGCCGAAAGGCGUAGUCGAUGGGAAACGGGUUAAUAUUCCCGUACUUGGUGUUACUGCGAAGGGGGGACGGAGAAGGCUAUGUUGGCCGGGCGACGGUUGUC